GGAGAUGUAGCUCAGUGGUAGAGCAUUUGCCUAGCAUGCAAAAGGCCCUGUGUUCAAUCUCUA
RNAcentral lists this transfer RNA (63 nucleotides) under Heterocephalus glaber (naked mole-rat). It matches the Rfam family "tRNA". Rfam says of the family: Transfer RNA (tRNA) molecules are approximately 80 nucleotides in length. Their secondary structure includes four short double-helical elements and three loops (D, anti-codon, and T loops). Further hydrogen bonds mediate the characteristic L-shaped molecular structure. tRNAs have two regions of fundamental functional importance: the anti-codon, which is responsible for specific mRNA codon recognition, and the 3' end, to which the tRNAs corresponding amino acid is attached (by aminoacyl-tRNA synthetases). tRNAs cope with the degeneracy of the genetic code in two manners: having more than one tRNA (with a specific anti-codon) for a particular amino acid; and 'wobble' base-pairing, i.e. permitting non-standard base-pairing at the 3rd anti-codon position. The record is from Rfam by way of RNAcentral. Lineage: Eukaryota; Metazoa; Chordata; Mammalia; Rodentia; Bathyergidae.